AAUGAAAAGCAACUAUACUCGGUUGGAGAAGAUGUUGAAAUUUCAUGCCUUACUGGCUUUGAAACUGUUGGAUACCAGUACUUCAGAUGCUUACCAGACGGGACCUGGAGACAAGGGGAUGUGGAAUGCCAACGGAGGGAGUGCAUCAAGCCAGUUGUGCAGGAAGUCCUGACAAUUACACCAUUUCAGAGAUUGUAUAGAAUUGGUGAAUCCAUUGAGCUAACUUGCCCCAAAGGCUUUGUUGUUGCUGGGCCAUCAAGGUACACAUGCCAGGGGAAUUCCUGGACACCACCCAUUUCAAACUCUCUCACCUGUGAAAAAGACCUGGACACCUCCCUUAGCCCUUCAGAGGAUCCUCUUGCCCUGAGCACUUUACAGACUGUGGAGUAUUUGUUGCUCCUGUGCUGGGAGGUGUGGGCAGCUGAGUCCCAGCACUGCUUCAACCUGAGGCUGAUUGGAAGAGCAGAUUCCUUGCAUAAGAUCAUUGACAAUUUCAAACCUGUAGUGAUAUAGAGCAAGGCUGUGUGCCACUUGAAAGCUGAAUUGAUUCUUUUUGGAAACAAUGUAUACCUUGCUGCUCCUCCCAGGCCUAAUUACAAAGGGCAAAGAGGCAUA
Molecule: small RNA, 615 nt
Filed under: Pan troglodytes (chimpanzee)
Lineage: Eukaryota; Metazoa; Chordata; Mammalia; Primates; Hominidae
Description: processed transcript
Source: RNAcentral